AGCAACAAUGUUUUGCCACAUUCAAUGGGCCACUCCAACAAGAAUUAAAUGUUGAGUGAUUCCAAUUUGAAAAUCAAGAGUGAGGAAGUUGAAGAACACAAUUUCACUCCUACGGCAUAUGAUAUUAUUUUAGGCUCAUCAUCCAAGGCUGACAAAAAGAGAACAGAUCAUGCUUAAAAGGUCAUAAAGCCCGCCGAAAUUGCAGUAAAAAAUUCAAGUAACAAUGUUUUGCCACAUGCAAUUGGCCACUCUAACAAGAAGAAAAUGUUAAGUGAUUCCAAUUUUAAAUUCAAGAGUGAGGAAGAUGAAGAACACAAUUCCACUCCUACAGCUCAUGAUAUUAUUUUAGGUUCAUCAUCCAAGCCAGACAAAAAGAGAACAGAUCAUGGUGAAAAGGUAAAGGUACUGCCCUUGUGUUGUUAUGCUCUUUGUUUACCUGUGUCCAUGUCCUCUCUCUCUCUCUCUCUCUCUCUGUUGUCAAUGGUCAGCCAGCGGAAAUUGCUGUGAAAACUACAAGUAAAAAUGUUUCACUGCAUGCAAUUGGCCACUCCAACAAGAAGAAGAUGCUGAGCAAUUACAGUUCCAGUCCAACAACAGAUGAUAUUAUUUUUGGCUCAUCAUCCAAGCCUGACGAAAAGAGAACAGAUCAUGGUAAAAAGGUCCAGGGUAACAAUGUUUUGCCACAUUUAAUUGGCCACUCCAACAGCAAGAAAAUGUUGAGCGAUUCCAAAUUGAAUAUCAAGAGCGAGGAAGCUGAAGAGCACAAUUUCACUCCUACAGCAGAUAUUAUUUUAGGCUCAUCAUCCAAGCCUGACAAAAAGAGAACAGAUCAUGUUGAAAAGUUCAAGGGUAGCAAUGUUUUGCCACAUGUUAUUGGUCACUCCAACAAGAAGAAGAUGUUGAGCUAUUCCAAUUUGAAAAUCAAGAGUGAGGAAGUUGAAGAACACAAUUUCACUCCUACGGCAGAUGAUAUUAUUUUAGGCUCAUCAUCCAAGCCUGACAAAAAGAGAACAGAUCAUGAUGAAAAGGUCAAGUGGUCAGCCUGCAAAAAUUGCAAUGAAAAAUUCAAGUAAAAAUAUUUCACCGUAUGCAAUUGUCCACUCCAACAAGAAGAAAAUGUUGAGCGGUUACAAAUUUACAAUUCCAGUCCAACAGCAAAUGAUAUUAUUUUAGGCUCAUCAUCCAAGCCUGAUGAAAAGAGAACAGAUCAUGGUGAAAAGGUCAAGCCUGCAAAUGCUAUUGUUAAAGGGAGCAGUGCAGACGCAUCUAGACAUGCAACUGGGUUCAAGAGAAGGGCAAAUGAUUCUGAUUCUGAAAUAGGCGCUUUCAGACAAGCAGGAAGUGGAAAUCCUGAUUAAGAAGUAAAGCUAAGUGACUUGGCAGUGAAAUUUGCACGAAAAGGGUGUGGCAAAGGAUCAAAGAUUGCUCCAACUGACAAAGUUGAUGCUUCAAAAUCAUCUGCAAAAGCAGAAUGCAAGAGGAAAAUCCCUCCUUUAAGAGUGAAAGUUAAAGAAACUGGACUCUCUUCCUUAACUUCACUUUCAGAGAUGCCAGGUCAAAGGAGGCAAGAAGCAAGCGAGCUGCAGUAGAUAGAGGGGAGGAAAUCACAAGCAGAAGGCGAUCUGGAGGUUGAAGUUGCUUCUAAUGGAAAGAGACCAAUUUUAAAUUUGCCUCUGAAGCCACAGAAGCUGAAGAAA
Long non-coding RNA from Quercus lobata, 1697 nucleotides. RefSeq lists it as uncharacterized. The transcript has 4 exons. The record is from RefSeq and is a predicted model, not a curated record. NCBI's taxonomy places the organism in Eukaryota, Viridiplantae, Streptophyta, Magnoliopsida, Fagales, Fagaceae.